Molecule: unclassified non-coding RNA, 2159 nt
Filed under: Hevea brasiliensis (rubber tree)
Lineage: Eukaryota; Viridiplantae; Streptophyta; Magnoliopsida; Malpighiales; Euphorbiaceae
Source: RNAcentral
UCUCUCUCUCUCUCUCUCUAUCUUCUGAUUUUCUGUUCUUUUAAUUUCAACUCUGAAAUAACUUUUGUUAGGGUUUCUACCGAACAGAUGGGUGCAGUUUUGCAACAAGAAGGCCAUCCAAUUGCUUUUAUUUCUAAGGCAUUUGGACCUAGAAGUAAGAGAUUGUCAGUUAUGAAAAGGAACUGCUGGCUGUCACAUUUGGAUUUACAAAGUGGAGACACUAUUUAGAGCCGGGUCUGUUUUAUAUAAAAACAGAUCAUGAGAGUAUCAAAUAUUUGUUGGAGCAGAGGCUGCACGCCAACUUGCAGCAGAGGGGCAUUUCUAAGCUCUUGGGGCUGAAGUAUAAGAUUUUAUAUAGGAGGGGAGUGGAAAAUGAAGUGGCUGAUGCUUUUUCCAGGAGACCAAUGGAGGUGGAAGGGACUUCUUGUGCUAUUGUUACAGCCAUUACACCUACUUGGAUGACAAAGUUGACUGAUACUUAUGUAGGUGAAUCUCAAUUACAUGAUUUAAUUGCUCAGUUAGCAAUUGAUACUCAGGCUCAUCAAGGGUAUGAAUUUAAGCAUGGGUUUUGUAUUACAAAGGUAGAAUUUAUGUGGGACCUGCUACUAAUUUGAGGCAACAAUUGUUGGCUGUCUAUCAUGACUCACCUAGUGGAGGACAUUCUGGUAUCCAGCCAACAUACAUUAGAAUUAAAAGGCAUUUCUACUAGCGAGGACUCUUAUGAUGGAAUUAAGUGGGUGAAGCAGUGUGAUGUGUGCGCUAGAUGUAAGAUUAAUCAUUCUUUGCCUGCUGGGUUAUUGCAGCCAUUGGCCAUUCCCAACCAAGCUUGGCAACAUAUUUCAAUGGAUUUCAUUGAACAGCUGCCUAAAUCUGAAGGGAAGGAGGUCAUAUUGGUGGUUUUGUGUAGAUUUACAAAGUAUGGCCAUUUCUUGGCCCUUUCUCAUCCUUAUACAGCUACAUCAGUGGCAAAAGUAUUCUUAGAUAAUAUUUUUAGAUUGCAUGAUAUGCCUCUUUCAAUUGUUUCUGACAAGGAUAAAGUUUUUACAAGUCUUUUUUGGAAGGAAUUCUUUAAAUUGACGGGGACUUCUUUCAAAUUUUCCACUGCAUAUGAUCCUCAGUCUGAUGGCUAGACUAAGAGAUUAAAUCAGUGCUUGGAAUGUUACUUGAGAUGCAUGACACAUCAUCAGCCAGCAGCUUGGUAUAAAUGGUUAGCUUUAGCUGAAUGGAAGUACAACAAUAGCAAUCACAGCAGCUUGAAGAUGAGUCCCUUUGAGGCUUUAUAUGUGUAUAAGCCACCUGAGGUUUAUUGCCCCUUGCCUGAUUCUACUACUGUUCAGGCAGUCGCUGAUCUUUUACAGCAGAGGCAGCAGAUGACUGAGUAGUAGAGAGACGAUUUGGUGCUGGCAUAGAAUAGAAUUAAGCAGCUAGCUGAUAAGAAGAGAACUGAGAAGGAAUUUCAAGUGGGAGAUUGGGUUUACUUGAAGUUGGCAGAAUUCUCUUGCAAUUAGGAAGUCCCUCAAACUCUCGGCUAGGUUUUAUGGGCCAUUUCAACUUGCAGCAAAGGUUGGUACUGUGCCAUACAGACUUAUAUUGCCGCCUUCUUCUUCUGUUCAUCCAGUGUUUCAUGUUUCACUAUUAAAGAGGAAAGUAGGCACUAAUAUGACACCAAUCCUGGAUCUUCCUGCCUUGAAAGAUGAACAGACAGUAGAAGGGGUUCCAGAAAAGUUGCUGCAGACAAGAAUAGUCCUGAGGAACAGUAUUCGAGCGCUUCGAGGCCUUAUUAAAUGAUCACGCUUCACCUAAGAAGAUGCAAAUUGGGGGGACUCCUCCUUUCUGCAGACUCAAUUUCCUACUUUUCAACCUUCUUGGGGACAAGAAGGUCCUCAAGGGGGGGAAAUUGUAACAUAUAAGGGAAGGAAGUUUAGGAAUAGAAGGAAAGAGAACGCUUAGGAGGGAAAAGAAGUUGGGUAGUUAUGCUGUGGUGUAGUUGUUAAUGCUGUUAGAGUCGGUUAUAGAGCUGUAGAGAAGGUUGUUAGAGUCAGUUAUAGAACCAUAGAGAAGUCUACAGCUGUGGAUAAAUAGCUGACUCAUGCUUGCAGGUUCUCAUUCUAAAUCUAAUACAGAUAUUGAUCUUCUUCUUCCCUAAAUUCUCUUCUCUC